Molecule: ribosomal RNA, 292 nt
Filed under: uncultured bacterium
Lineage: Bacteria
Description: partial 16S ribosomal RNA
Source: RNAcentral
GGACUACCCGGGUAUCUAAUCCUGUUUGCUCCCCACGCUUUCGUGCCUCAGCGUCAGUUGUAGCCUAGAUGACCGCCUUCGCCACCGGUGUUCCUCCUAAUAUCUAAGAAUUUCACCUCUACACUAGGAAUUCCAUCAUCCCCUACUACACUCUAGAUUAGUAGUUUUGAAAGCAGUUCCGAGGUUAAGCCUCGGGCUUUCACUUCCAACUUACCAAACCGCCUACGCACUCUUUACGCCCAGUAAUUCCGAACAACGCUAGCCCCCUCCGUCUUACCGCGGCUGCUGGCAC